AGGAUAAUAGUUAAUAAUAACAUUUAAUUUGCAUUUAAAAAGUACUAUAUUUAGUUUAUCUAA
Molecule: transfer RNA, 63 nt
Filed under: Platypodinae sp. BMNH 1274714
Lineage: Eukaryota; Metazoa; Arthropoda; Insecta; Coleoptera; Curculionidae
Description: tRNA-Ala
Source: RNAcentral